UUACUCUUACAGUUAUUGGAGAUGACAUGAUAAAUAGCCUGUCAAUGUUCGGUGUUCUUAAGUACCUACACAAAACAUGUAUCAAAAUGAAGGAACAGACUCAUGAACGAUAGUUUUUACAUGUCCAAAUCUGUCCGGUUUGUGUUUUUUGAAUAAAGGUUAUUGCACAUUGAGUUCGAAAUUUGCGUCCGAAAUUUCCGCACAUUAAAAAUACAUACGACCUUACACUCUAAAAAAUGCUGCGUUAUUUGUUUAACCCAACAGCUGGGUUGAGCCUGUUGGGUCAUUUUGUUGGGUUAUUUUCUUAGUGUUGGGUCAUUUUUUGAGUAACCCAAACGCUGGGUUAGCAGUCGGGUCCAAUUGAGUGACAGUUGAGAGAGUAAACCCCUCCCACUCCUCGACGCAUCAGACAAACUUUACCUUCGCGGGCAUUUUGAUCCACCUCAUCUCGAAAAGUUGUUAUUCGGAGAAGAAAAGCGUGCAGAUAACAGCUAAUAUUAAUGGAUCAUUCUAUUCAAGAGAAAGUCAACUGGAACGUGGAUGUUUUCAUAACAGGCUUAAAGAUGAACAAAUUGAUAAAGAAACCCUCCUGCUGAACAUCCACUUCCAAAAGUGCACGCCACACUGUUGUCUACAACUCCCAGGAUAAGAAUCCUCUUUAGGAAGACUGCUCCGUGGAUAUGUCAGGUUAAGCAGUGCUGAAACCGAAAGAACUAACGCUCUUUAAAAUGUUUUGUGAGUUUAUAUGAAGAGGAAAGUUACGGUGUCCCUUUUUCACAUCCAUAACGCUUCUUUAUUUCUUUUUUUAUAGAAAACUUGUGCAUAGACUGAUAUUUUAUCAUAUAAAUGCGGUUCUAUCAACAAGGGUUUAGUAAAAUACUUUUUAUAGUGUUUUUAUGUCGCAUCCAUAACGCUGGAAUUGCCCUAAAGCAUUUUACUCAUGCCACUUUGUUAACUGUAUAUGAAUUUUUGAAGUGUUAAGUUGUCUAACUAUUUAUAUUUACUUGUGCCACUUUAAUAACCUUGUUAAAUGUAAAUGUAAAAAUCUAAACUAAUGUAAUUUAUUGAAGUUAAUUUUCCUUAAAUAUGUAUAAACAUACAUUUCAUCAAAGUGUUUUAUAUGCCAUUUUAUUGUUCAUUGAGCAUAACAUAUUGCAUGUUUUUAUGAUUUCCUUUUGUCUUGCA
Triplophysa dalaica is the source of this 1185-nucleotide long non-coding RNA. RefSeq lists it as uncharacterized. The transcript is spliced from 3 exons. The record is from RefSeq and is a predicted model, not a curated record. Lineage: Eukaryota; Metazoa; Chordata; Actinopteri; Cypriniformes; Nemacheilidae.